AUUGAACGCUGGCGGCAUGCCUUACACAUGCAAGUCGAACGGUAACGGGCCUUCGGGUGCCGACGAGUGGCGAACGGGUGAGUAAUACAUCGGAACGUGCCCGAUCGUGGGGGAUAACGAGGCGAAAGCUUUGCUAAUACCGCAUACGAUCUACGGAUGAAAGCAGGGGACCGCAAGGCCUUGCGCGGACGGAGCGGCCGAUGGCAGAUUAGGUAGUUGGUGGGAUAAAAGCUUACCAAGCCGACGAUCUGUAGCUGGUCUGAGAGGAUGAUCAGCCACACUGGGAGUGAGACACGGCCCAGACUCCUACGGGAGGCAGCAGUGGGGAAUUUUGGACAAUGGGCGCGAGCCUGAUCCAGCCAUGCCGCGUGCAGGAUGAAGGCCUUCGGGUUGGAAACUGCUGUUGUACGGAACGAAAAGCCUUCUUUUAAUACAGGAGGGUCAUGACGGUACCGUAAGAAUAAGCACCGGCUAACUACGUG
This 482-nucleotide ribosomal RNA is filed under the name uncultured bacterium. RNAcentral describes it as "partial 16S ribosomal RNA". It matches the Rfam family "Bacterial small subunit ribosomal RNA", at positions 30 to 507 of the family's 1533-position model. The record is from RNAcentral.